CCCUAGCCCUGAUGGGAGGGAAAAUCCUUUUGUGCCGGUCCCGAGGCUUCGGGAGGCAAAAAAGAUUGGAAGGAACAGAAGGAAAUAGC
Molecule: small RNA, 89 nt
Filed under: Flavobacterium sp. 9
Lineage: Bacteria; Pseudomonadati; Bacteroidota; Flavobacteriia; Flavobacteriales; Flavobacteriaceae
Description: Flavo-1 RNA
Rfam family: Flavo-1 RNA
Source: RNAcentral